UUCAAUUACCUGAGCGCAGGCCCUUUAAAACUCAGCGCAGGGUCAGGGGCAUGAUGGGAGGCCAGGGGCUGAUGGGAGAAGACGUGCUCCGCGCAGGCACGCACGCACGUCAGCUCAAAGCCCCUGACGCAUCCCUGCCUCUGACCCUGUGUUAUCGAUACCAGGCAGAGGAAGGUGCAGCCGCCCGCCUGCCCCACAUUGCUGCAGUGAGAAGAGAAUGAGGAUCUGCUUACAAGCUGAGGAAUCAAUGAUGAAGACCUGGUGCCCGUAUGAGAUGAGAAAGAGAAGACAACAGAGAAGAUGUCACUCAGGCUCUUGGACCAUCUUCAGACAUUCCAGCGAGUUCUUACGCCGUGCUUUUAAUCAGACGCCUUCUAAUUCUGUUCCUAUGUAGAAACAAAAAAAAUCUCACUACAAGGAGCAAAUGAUAAAAGAAGAAUGAGAAAUAAAA
Hyla sarda is the source of this 451-nucleotide long non-coding RNA. RefSeq lists it as uncharacterized. The record is from RefSeq and is a predicted model, not a curated record. The transcript has 3 exons. Lineage: Eukaryota; Metazoa; Chordata; Amphibia; Anura; Hylidae.